Molecule: ribosomal RNA, 428 nt
Filed under: uncultured bacterium
Lineage: Bacteria
Description: partial 16S ribosomal RNA
Rfam family: Bacterial small subunit ribosomal RNA
Source: RNAcentral
GUAGGGAAUAUUGGACAAUGGGGGCAACCCUGAUCCAGCGACGCCGCGUGAGUGAUGAAGGCCUUCGGGUCGUAAAGCUCUGUUGCAGGGGAAGAACACAAUGACGGUACCCUGCUAGAAAGGAUUGGCUAACUUCGUGCCAGCAGCCGCGGUAAGACGAGGGAUCCUAGCGUUGUUCGGAAUUAUUGGGCGUAAAGCGGGUGCAGGUGGCUUGGUAAGUCAGAUGUGAAAGCCUGGGGCUUAACCCCAGAAGUGCAUUUGAUACUGCUGAGCUUGAGUGCUGGAGAGGCUAUUAGAAUUCCUGGUGUAGUGGUGAAAUACGUAGAUAUCAGGAGGAAUACCGGAGGCGAAGGCGGAUAGCUGGCCAGACACUGACACUCAGACCCGAAAGCGUGGGGAUCAAACAGGAUUAGAAACCCGUGUAGUCC